GACGAACGCUGGCGGCGUGCUUAACACAUGCAAGUCGAACGGAAAGGCCCUGCUUUUGUGGGGUGCUCGAGUGGCGAACGGGUGAGUAACACGUGAGUAACCUGCCCUUGACUUUGGGAUAACUUCAGGAAACUGGGGCUAAUACCGGAUAGGAGCUCCUGCUGCAUGGUGGGGGUUGGAAAGUUUCGGCGGUUGGGGAUGGACUCGCGGCUUAUCAGCUUGUUGGUGGGGUAGUGGCUUACCAAGGCUUUGACGGGUAGCCGGCCUGAGAGGGUGACCGGCCGCCAUGGGACUGAGAUACGGCCCAGACUCCUACGGGGGGCAGCAGUGGGGAAUAUUGCACAAUGGGCGGAAGCCUGAUGCAGCAACGCCGCGUGCGGGAUGACGGCCUUCGGGUUGUAAACCGCUUUCGCCUGUGACGAAGCGUGAGUGACGGUAAUGGGUAAAGAAGCACCGGCUAACUACGUG
This 468-nucleotide ribosomal RNA is filed under the name uncultured bacterium. Its description in RNAcentral is "partial 16S ribosomal RNA". It matches the Rfam family "Bacterial small subunit ribosomal RNA", at positions 28 to 507 of the family's 1533-position model. The record is from RNAcentral.